Molecule: ribosomal RNA, 497 nt
Filed under: uncultured bacterium
Lineage: Bacteria
Description: partial 16S ribosomal RNA
Rfam family: Bacterial small subunit ribosomal RNA
Source: RNAcentral
GAUGAACGCUGGCGGCGUGCCUAAUACAUGCAAGUCGAGCGAACGGACGAGAAGCUUGCUUCUCUGAUGUUAGCGGCGGACGGGUGAUUAACACGUGGAUAACCUACCUAUAAGACUGGGAUAACUUCGGGAAACCGUAUCUAAUACCGGAUAAUAUUUUGAACCGCAUGGUUCAAAAGUUAAAGACGGUCUUGCUGUCACUUAUAGAUGGAUCCGCGCUGCAUUAGCUAGUUGGUAAGGCAACGGCUUACCAAGGCAACGAUGCAUAGCCGACCUGAGAGGGUGAUCGGCCACACUGGAACUGAGACACGGUACAGACUCAUACGGGAGGAAGCAGUAGGGAAUCUUACGCAAUGGGCGAAAGCCUGACGGAGCAACGCCGCGUGAGUGAUGAAGGUCUUCGGAUCGUAAAACUCUGUUAUUAGGGAAGAACAUAUGUGUAAGUAACUGUGCACAUCUUGACGGUACCUAAUCAGAAAGCCACGGCUAACUCCGUG